CUCGGAGCGCGGGCCCCGCCGGCAGCGCCCUGGCAGCAGCGGCCAAGCUGGCAGCGGCACCGCCAAUACCGAGGGCGGGAGGGCGCCCGCAACCGCGAGGCCUCCAAGGGCCGCGGGCGGAACGGCGAUGGCGCCGAGCCCCUUCCCCCGAGAGGGCAAGCGGAGCAGCAUCCGCGGGCGUCGCCGCUAGAGCGCCUCGGCCACGGCCACGGCCACGGCCACGGCCACGUCCAGCAGCGGCAGCCGCACGGAGCCCGACUCCAAGGUGCGUGUUGGCCGCUCGCGCUUGUGGGAAGGAGCCGCCGUCCGCCUACCCAGAGCCGCCACAGGCCCUCGCGACAAGGUGGAGCAGAGCUCAGUGCUGUAGACUGCGCUCCCUCAGUCCCUGGGCCGGGCCUUCAUGCCAGCCUGGGCUCGCACAGCGCCCUGCGGGCCCUCUGAGCCGCCGCUCACCCACCCCCUACAGCCAGGUGCUCAGUUGGUCUGUGAAAUCCCGAAGCAGAAGUCCAUACUCCUCCAGGCAUUCAAGGUCUCUCAGCAGGUACAGAUUUUCUAGAUCCCAGAGUCGUCAUUCUAGCAUUUCUCCUAGCACACUGACUCUGAAGAGUAGCCUGGCCGUCCAGUUGAACAAGAAUGAAAAAGCAAGAGCUGCAGAGACAGCUGCAGAAGCUGCAGAACCCUCUAGCACGUCUACACCAACCAAGGGGACACAGAAACUGGAGCCAGCACAUCGCAAACCAACCAUGUGAAGGACGUGAAGAAAUAAACUGAGCGUGCCCCUUCUCCCUCAAGUAGUGGAACUUUCAAUACAAAAUGACAAGGCGAAAACAAAGCCACCUCUUCAAGUUACAAAGGUAGACAAUAAUUUGAUUGUAGAUAAAGCCACCCAGAUAACAGCUGUCGUUGGGAAGGAGAGGAAAUCUGCUGCUACAAAGGGUGAACCUUUCAGUAUCUCUCAAAAGAGAAAACCAAACCACUGAAACCAAGCGUGGGAGCCAGGGAGAAGCAGCAACAUGUGACUUUAGUGACCUGUGUGCUACCACCCUUACCUUUGUCUCCCAUGCUACCUGAAUAUAAAGAGGGGGAUAGUUUAAGAGAAAAUAUUUCAGUAAAAGCGGUUUAAAAAGAAGUAGAAAAGAAACAGAUGUCUUCUUGCUGAUUUAGCCCUGCCCUCUCACCUGCCUCCCAAGCCGGAGGAGAGGAUCUUUCCAAGAGUCCAGAGGAAAAGAAAACAGCAGCACAGUUGCAUAGUAUAUGAAGGCCUAAAGUAUGUCGGCCUCGCUAUGGUGAAUUAAAAGAAAAAGAUAUUGACUGAGGAAAAGGCUGUGUGGACAAAUUUUAUAUCGUCAGAAUUAUUAGAAAAGGUCCUUAUGGAUAAGUUUACAAGGUUGGGGAGAAGACAUUGGAGACACGGUUGCCUUAAAAAAAAAAAAGUAAGGUCUGGAUAAUAAAAAGGAAGGCAUUCCAAUUUUAGCAAUUUGAGAAAUUAAAAUUCUCCCAUAGGUUACCCAUCAGAGUAUUAUCAAUAAGAACGAAAUAGUGACUGAUAAAGAAGAUGCUUUGAAUUUUAAAGACAGAGGCUUCCAGACUGUCCUCGCCUUAGGUGAAGGUGUUUGACCCCCGUCCUCGGAAGUAGCCUGACAGCCUCUUAGCUGUCUCUCAGCCGCCGCCACGUUCAGCCGCCUCUCAGCAGCCGCCUUUGCCAACGCAACCAAGCAAGUGGAGGAGGCCCAAUACCAAUACUUCAGAAGGUGACACCCAGGCUCUGUCCUGCCUCCCGGCGUCUCUGGGCCCAGUGUCUGUAUGACAACACAUGUAACUUUCCUGGCACAGAAGAUGGUUGAAAAUUGUAGAAUUAAUCAUUCGUCAAAAUUAAAUGAAGAACAGGUGCUGUGCUAAGUGAAGAACUGCUGUGAUUCAUUGUCAGGAAAAGAUUCUUUUAACCAGUAUGAAGAACAAGUAAGCAGGGCCAGGGAUUUAGCUCACUGCUUCCACCACCUGUCUCACAAGCACAAGGUCCGGAGUUCGAUCUUGGGUACCAAGAAAACAAACAAAACAAAACAAAACAAAACAAAACAGGUAAGCAAAUGAAAGAAUAAAUAUACUAGUUUCUUAAAUGCCAGCUUUCAUGCUGCUGUGUAAAAUGGUCUGAUUUUGUGUCACUCUGUGUGUGUGUGUACACAUACAGUAAAAUAAGGAAUAAAAAAGGAUUCAUAUUGAUUGUAGAAUAAUAAAGAAUUUAGGGCAG
RNAcentral lists this long non-coding RNA (2248 nucleotides) under Heterocephalus glaber (naked mole-rat). RNAcentral's name for it is "lncRNA (ENSHGLG00100034265.1)". Lineage: Eukaryota; Metazoa; Chordata; Mammalia; Rodentia; Bathyergidae. The record is from RNAcentral.